AUCAGCGAGGGGCGGGGCCCCGCGGCUCGCGCCGGAAGUUGUGGGCGCCCGGUGCAGCUUCCUGGGUGCUGUUUUUGCGACUUCCGCGGGCGUCCCAGGUGCGGCUUCCUGAAGGUUCUCCUACCCCGGUUCUUACUGCCCUUGCAGGUUUUGUCACUUCUCACAGGAUACUUCUGCUGGUAAUAGCGCAUCAGGCAGAAAUAAAACCUUGCCAGAAAAGUAGAUACUCCCCUAAAGCGCCCCACGCACCUCCUUCCCCGCCAAGAGUCACCGCCUUCCUGCCUUCUAACCCUGGGGCCUGGCUCUGACAUCUGGUCUAUCCCGUUUUGUAAAUAAGGCGGAUGUGUAUGUAAAGCUGGUGUUGGCCUGAAUGAUGAAGCCAGUUGCUCAGCAACGUAAACCCUAGAUGUGGAGGCAGCAGAGACCAUUCUCGCCAUCUGGAUUCUUCUCGGCUGUGUAUAGAGAUGCUCCAGUCAUGUGACAAGAUCAUCUGCAUUCCACUGUUUCCAUAGAAACCCCAGAGGAAUCGGCAGAUAAAGAGACUACAACUACAGGGAAAGCUGAAAGACACAUCAAUGACUUCAUUCACUUUUCUAUUUCAUUUUGUGCUUGUGGAAGCAGUGAACGUUAAGAGACAUAAAUAAAACACAUCCUGUGGAGA
Long non-coding RNA from Manis pentadactyla (Chinese pangolin), 661 nucleotides. RefSeq lists it as uncharacterized. The record is from RefSeq and is a predicted model, not a curated record. The transcript is spliced from 2 exons. NCBI's taxonomy places the organism in Eukaryota, Metazoa, Chordata, Mammalia, Pholidota, Manidae.